GCACAGGGUGGGAUUGCUGCGGUGUCCUGUGCAGGGCCAGGAGUUGGACUGGAUGAUCCUUGUGGGUCCCUUCCAGUUCAGUUGUGUCAUUCUGUAGUAACUGUGACCCUCUCAGAUUUGGACACAGCGCUUGUUUGCUUUGGCUCUGGAGUGCACCUGACCCACCAGCCCAGGUGUCUGGACCAGCUUAAGAAUUAGAGGUGCUUCUUGUUUUUUAAGCUCUCUUCGUUAUCCGAGUCUCUUGUUUUCCUACUCGUUUACUUCACAUGUGUGAGCCCUUUGUGUUUCCUCCCAGCAGGCAGCUGGGUUCAAGGGAAGGUGUUGGGUUGUCCUAGGCUUUAUAAGAUUAUAAAGGACCCCAGGCAGGAUUGCAUCCAAGAUUGUCAAAUAAAUGUAAAUUAAUGAAACAUCUGAAUUCUGAAGAAAUUGACUAGGAUGUGGGUAGAAAAACUCUGUAGGCUGCGUUAGAAAGCUGAAUCCACAGCUACAAUUCCUGGUAUUCCAUCUCUUGUAGGUACACAGGUGCUUAAAGGGAUACAGGAUUUAUGUGUGGUGCCCUUUGCCAUGGUAUAUUAUAUAGAUCUUUGCUCAGCAAAAUUGCAAAGUGUGCAAAGAAUUAUCUUGGGUAGGUGAGGAAGGCAUUACCUAUAUUAUAUAUUCUGUCUCUUCAAAUUGAUAUCCAGAGUUGUCUGCUUGCUAAGUCUGUUUUUUUUCUCCUAAUCAUUUCCUGAGGCUUGCAGGUGUAUAUCCUCCAGGAUGUGCUCUGAAGAUUUCAGCAAAAGGGAAAGAAGGAGCUUGGCUCAACCACCAGAGAAACCCUGCAGCCCACACCCAGGCAAUCCUGAGUCCUCCCUUCCCUGUGAGACCUGUGUGGAGUCUCCCAGGCAGGAAAACUCCCCUCAGAAGUGGUGCACUGAGAGCUCUCCCCAGACAGCAACAGAAUCAUCCUCGUGCCUGCUUCUGCCUUCUGAUUCAAUUACUCCUUUCAUUCGUUUGUGUGGGUGCCUUUUUUCAGCAGAGUGGAUCAGCUCCUGCAGCUGAGAUUCCCAUUCCACAUCACUGCAUUUACAGUCAGCAGCGAGGAAAGGGAUGCUUCAAAUUCCCGGAAGCCGACUCUGGAUCAUGUCUCUCUUAGUUUGGUGUCAGACCUCUGGGACAUGAUAUAAAUAGCCAGUGCAUCUUCCCACAGCAUUUUUUAAGUUCCUAGCAGCUGGCAGCAAGUUGGAGUUGGUCAUCAUGACUGGAAAACUGCUCCUCUUCUAUCCAGAAAAGGGCAGCUUGAUGUCUGAGAGAGCUGUGAGUGCCUGAACACAUCUGGAGCCCAGCACCGCGUGAGCAGGAGAAGGUCUGUCCCAUGCUAUGCAAACCUGUGCACAUGGCAUGAAAAACCCUGGUAAUGAUGGAAGGGAGCAGAACAGAGAGCUGGGAAGCUGCAGCACAGUAAGUUUACACAAGCAGCAAGUAAAACACCCAUCCCCGGUGAGUCAGUCCCGGCCGUUUCCUUCAUUUCCUCCAAGGCUCACUGGGAACAUCCAGCGGUAGCGGCCCUUCAGUCGUCUCCUUUCCUGGCCCUUGUUUACAGCUUUCCUUCAGCAGGGAGCACAGUCCCAGCCUCCUGCACUGCAUCUUCACAGGCUGAGAGAAGUGCAGACCCUCCCCUGGCCUCAGCUUUGGUACUGCCAGUGCUCUUGCUUUUGUGGGUGCCAGCACCUUCUUGAGCUACAGCAGGUGCUGAGAUUCAGGUAGGCCACUUUCCCUGUGGUUGUUUCUUCAGGAUUUCUGCUCCAGCUAUAAACUCUAGAAAUAAAUUACUGUAAGGGAAAGGUGGAAUAUGGACAGUCACACUACUGCAGAGGAAGAUAAACAAAGCUGAAAUGUGCUUCCCUCUCUGUUCAGUGUCUUUGCACAAGUCCUGGAGGUGGGGAUCUCUGAGCCUGGAUGUGUGAUAGUGUAGUGCCCCCUCAUGGGAAGCUGUUCCUGAUGCUGAUUCCUGGCUGCAUCCAGUUUGUCUUCUGGAAGAGAUGUGUGGAAUAGAGACAGUGAAGUUGUAAGACCAGAGAAGACAGAAGCCCAGAGGGGAAAAAGAUCACUCAGCAUUUGUCUUAAUGCCCUCCUCCAAAAAGUCAGCAGCUUGUAAAUUGGGAAUUUGCAGUGUGUCUGUGAUGACUUCAGUUUUGGGAGAUUUCUGGGUAGCUGCUCAUGGCUGGUGUCCUGGUAAAUUUUGGUCUCUGCAGGACUUGACCUUUAAAUGUACAGGCUUGCCAAACUACAACAGGAAUGCUCCUGCUGGGAGGUGACUGAGCACUGAUGGCAAAGGCGGUGAACACAGAGACUCAGAACCUGAGGAGCUUCAGGAUCUCCUCAGGUUACAUUUCUAGAGAAAAGAAUUCACUUUCUCUCCACAUGCAUUUGGUGUGGUCACAACGAGGUGGAAGAUGCAGGUGAAACCCACAGUCACAUUGGCAGCUGCAUCCCAAAUUAGCCAAAGGAAAGCAAGUACCUGAAGCUUAGGGCAAGAUGUGGCUGCCCUGACACAAACCCUGAGUGCUUUCACAGCAACCCAUGUCCUCAGGACAGCCCUGACAAGUAACAUCAAGGCUGACCAUGCCAGGGAACUUGGAUUCAAGGGUCCAGACCAAAUAGCAUCAUAUUUUUCCAUCUUUUUUCACCUAAGAAUAUGAGGAGUUGUGUUAAUUGAUCUUAAUUCUUCCUUCUCUAAACAUAGGAAAAAUGUCCUGUUUCAGUCCCUUGUUCCCUGCAUUCCCAUUGCUGCUUCCCUUCUCCCAAUAAUUGUUAAAAUACUUUUUUUUUUUUCAGUAAAGCAUCUUGUAGUUCCUGUUUCACCCUAUGUUCACAUAAAGGCUUGAUCAUAUGUCCAAAGAAUUGGGAAGAUGCCUGAAAUCCCUCUCAUGUGUACUAUAUGUAAACUCUGUUUUUCCUGUUUUGCUUGGUAUUUCUGUCUUGAAGGCAUCAGGAGAAAUCCAAAGGUCAUCUGUUAAAGAAAUCAGGCAAGAAAAGAAAGCAGUUGACCAGCAAAGAGGCACCUUCUUAAGCACAACAGCCAGGUGCAGAGCUGUGGGAGGGAACUUCCCAGUCCCUGUACUGGAAAAAUCUGCCAAGGCUGGGAAAAGGGAAAUGGAAGGACAUGCACAGGCCUGUCAAAAGCUCUGCCAUCUGUAAAAGGGGCACAUUCUGCGUGUUUGGAGGUGCUCUGGGGUGGCCAAGCUGCCCUUUUUUGAGGGGAAACACUGACAGGACAGAGAAGUCUCCUCUGUGGCUCUGUGCUUGAAGGUGGGAAAGCACAAACAGCUCAGACACAGCCAGGCAGAGUUCAGCAGCCCUGUGGGGAAGGUCAGCUGGAGGGAGAGACGGAGCAGAAAAUGGUGCAAGGCAACACAUGAGCAGCAGGGCAACUGCAAGAGCUCUGGAAAGCAAAAAGAAUGAAGUCCAGCAGACUGGAAAACUGGAUCCCAUAUAACCCCGGUGGCACUGAGAAAACAACCUCCUCAGAACCAGGUUCUUCUACCAGCAGGAUGGUGUGUCACUGCAGAGAAAAAAAGGCAGACCACUUUCCCUUAUAAGGAAUGGCCAUUGAGAUCUUGGGCCACCUGCACAUGCCAAAUAGCUCUGCUGAGAUGGAAACACAACCACUUUGGCCUGGGUUGGAAGGGAUCUCAAAGAUCAUCUAGAUCCUGCCAUAGGAUCUUCUUCAGGGAAGACAAGUUGCAACACAGCCUCGUUUCUGUUCUCUGUUUAAGCUUUUUGUAAGUGAAGGGCAAAUGCACAGCUCCUCCCCUUGCUGUUGUUUCCAGUUUUAUGAUUUGGCUCAGUUUUUCAGAGAGAUUAACAAGAGAAGGGGAUGAUGAAUUAGAACCAAGGCUGCCUAAAAAAAUAACAACAUACCCACUCUGAGUUGGAAUCCCUGCACAAGCAACUUGACAAAGUGCUUGUUGCACGACUACAUCUUAUUAAAACUGAAUGAGGGUUUGGAAGAUAAAACAUCUCAAGUUACCACAAAAGAUACCCCAUAUACAGCUACUGUCUAAACUGAAAAGGGAAUAUAGCUGGGAAUGCGCUGAAUUUAUCUGGAACUGAGAGUCACAUUACCAUCCACAGUGCCUUAUCCUCCACUGUGGAGGCACAAACUAAGACAAAAGAAGUAACUGAUCAAACUGGAGAACUAUUUCAGUCUAUGCAACCACAAGCCUGGUUUGAUCAUGCAUCAUGUGUUACUACCCUGCUAAAGCCUUGAGCGCUUACAGGACAGAGAAAAUGGCUAGCAGGAGUUGGAAGUGAAAUGGUCACUGGAUUUGUGUUUUUAAAUGUUGGCAUUAGCCUAGUUAAGCAUGAUAACAUGCUUAUUUAUCCUUGGCAUUUUCUACUUUCCUAUUUUCUCUUUAUUUCCUCCUUGAUGAAGAAAAAUAAAGGUGAAUGAUCACUUUGUAUCCCAACAUCUAAGCUCAUUUGUGUUUU
Ficedula albicollis (Collared flycatcher) is the source of this 4473-nucleotide long non-coding RNA. RefSeq lists it as uncharacterized. NCBI's taxonomy places the organism in Eukaryota, Metazoa, Chordata, Aves, Passeriformes, Muscicapidae. The record is from RefSeq and is a predicted model, not a curated record. The transcript has 11 exons.